This 253-nucleotide ribosomal RNA is filed under the name uncultured microorganism. RNAcentral describes it as "partial 16S ribosomal RNA". It matches the Rfam family "Bacterial small subunit ribosomal RNA", at positions 524 to 776 of the family's 1533-position model. The record is from RNAcentral.
UACGUAGGGUGCGAGCGUUAAUCGGAUUUACUGGGCGUAAAGGGCGCGUAGGCGGCCGGGCAAGUCUGGUGUGAAAGCCCAGGGCUCAACCCUGGAAGGGCACUGGAAACUGUCUGGCUUGAGUUCCGGAGAGGAGGGGGGAAUUCCCGGUGUAGCGGUGAAAUGCGUAGAUAUCGGGAGGAAUACCAGUGGCGAAGGCGGCUCUCUGGCCAGUUACUGACGCUCAUGCGCGAAAGCUGGGGGAGCGAACCGG